This 301-nucleotide ribosomal RNA is filed under the name uncultured bacterium. RNAcentral's name for it is "partial 16S ribosomal RNA". It matches the Rfam family "Bacterial small subunit ribosomal RNA", at positions 509 to 808 of the family's 1533-position model. The record is from RNAcentral.
CAGUAGCCGCGGGAACACGUAGGGGGCAAGCGUUGUCCGGAAUUAUUGGGCGUAAAGCGCGCGCAGGCGGUCAUUUAAGUCUGGUGUUUAAUCCCGGGGCUCAACCCCGGAUCGCACUGGAAACUGGGUGACUUGAGUGCAGAAGAGGAGAGUGGAAUUCCACGUGUAGCGGUGAAAUGCGUAGAUAUGUGGAGGAACACCAGUGGCGAAGGCGACUCUCUGGGCUGUAACUGACGCUGAGGCGCGAAAGCGUGGGGAGCAAACAGGAUUAGAUACCCCAGUAGUCCCUGUCUCUUAUACA